This 400-nucleotide unclassified non-coding RNA is filed under the name Hevea brasiliensis (rubber tree). Lineage: Eukaryota; Viridiplantae; Streptophyta; Magnoliopsida; Malpighiales; Euphorbiaceae. The record is from RNAcentral.
UGCGCAUAUUAUUGGACCCAAUUCAAGACUUAGGUACAACUUCACCUUCUGGACCAGCGUCUAAAGCACUCCUCAUGGAGAUUGUUGUCUCAUUCUGUAUGAUGUUUGUCACAUCUGCGGUUGCUACCGACACAAAAGCUAUAGGAGAGCUUGGAGGCAUAGCAGUGGGGUCAGCUGUAUGUAUCACAUCCAUCUUUGCUGGGCCAAUAUCGGGUGGGUCGAUGAACCCAGCAAGGUCAAUUGGACCAGCGAUUGCAAGUUCACAUUACGAAGGGAUUUGGGUGUACUUGGUCGGCCCAGUUACUGGUACAUUGCUUGGGGCAUUUUCAUAUAACUUCGUACGAGCCACUGAAAAACAUACCCAUCCACUCUCUUUACAUUGACAUUCAAUCAAUCUGGG